RNAcentral lists this transfer RNA (91 nucleotides) under Vibrio parahaemolyticus. RNAcentral's name for it is "tRNA-Ser". It matches the Rfam family "tRNA". From Rfam's summary of the family: Transfer RNA (tRNA) molecules are approximately 80 nucleotides in length. Lineage: Bacteria; Pseudomonadati; Pseudomonadota; Gammaproteobacteria; Vibrionales; Vibrionaceae. The record is from RNAcentral.
GGAGAGAUGGCUGAGUGGUUGAAAGCACCGGUCUUGAAAACCGGCAUACGUUAAUAGCGUAUCUANGGUUCAAAUCCCUAUCUCUCCGCCA